This 812-nucleotide long non-coding RNA is filed under the name Bemisia tabaci. RNAcentral describes it as "lncRNA ENSSSA1NGG004149". Lineage: Eukaryota; Metazoa; Arthropoda; Insecta; Hemiptera; Aleyrodidae. The record is from RNAcentral.
GGUCGAAAUGUGAAACUGCCUACUGUGCGGCGCGGCACGUGGCUUUGUUUACGUCUGUAUCUGUAUGAAUUCGCUCACCAACAGCAUCCAACAGGUCCGAUACUGCAAAAGGCUCCCAAGAAAGAGUGACGGUGGAUGAUAGUGAUAGUGAUAGUAGAUUAUACGUUCGGAUAAUCGUUCGAGUUACACUACACGCGUUACAACGCAUCGUGCCAUUGUACCUACGUCGUUUUAAUCCUUUUCGGUGCAUAUAUGUAUACAUUUGACGAGGAGAAUCACCAAAGGAGUUUGUGAAAAUGCCGUCGUCGAGAUCUGACAGUCUCUCCAGGACCACCAAGAGGAGAAAGACCACCUCCGACUUGGAUGAUUCUACUUUGAUAGAAGCUGCGAUCGCAAAUCCACAUUUGUCUAUCCCAAAAAUAAUACGCCAAUACGUCCCCAAUUAUCCUGCGUCCAGAUAUGUUGCUUAUAAUAGAAUUCGUCAACACGGACUGCAACGGCCAAGGAAGUCUAGGAAGAUAGACCGGAGCAGCCAGGAUUCUAAAACAACGCCAAAACCUUGUAAUGCCUCUUCUGACAAUUCAUUCUCAUGGUCUCCUCGUCGUUCUUCAACACCAUUAUCGAAUCACCAUGGCUCAUCUUACGGUCGCUGCAACUUAUCAAAGUCACUCAAAGUCUGCAGUAAGACUGGAAGAUCACAGUUACUCAAAGCCUCCAGUCAGACUGGAAGAUGGAAACUAUUGAGGAAAUUUAUUUCUAAAGUCAGUCUUGCGGUGUCUCUCUCUGUACGUGCUUUGAAUAAAGUUUAUUGA